Long non-coding RNA from Melopsittacus undulatus (budgerigar), 2364 nucleotides. RefSeq lists it as uncharacterized. The record is from RefSeq and is a predicted model, not a curated record. NCBI's taxonomy places the organism in Eukaryota, Metazoa, Chordata, Aves, Psittaciformes, Psittaculidae. The transcript has 3 exons.
UGUAUGAUUAUUUGCUCCAGCACUUUCUGGGGUCUGAAACUGUGUUGCUUUGUCUAAAACUCACCAGUGCCCCUUUUCCUAAUUUAUAGGUCCUCUACAAGCCCUCAGCGAAAACUGCUAAUGGCUCUGAGCCCACUUCUGGCCCUUUGCUAACCAUCCCAGGCAGCUGCGGAAUAAGCUCUCACACCACGUCAAUGAGGGUCAUAAAGCACCAUCAGUACUUCCUUGCUUCUCACAAAAGACUACAGGAAGAAACUUUGAGAAGUUACCUGUUCUCUUUUAUUCUGACUGAACUGAAUUCUUGUUCAUCCACACAGGAGAAAGGGACCUACUUCUUUGAGGGGGGUAGCAAUUCGUUAUGCCUCACACUCACCGUUGGGUACCCAUCUUUCUGAUGACCAGCUACACAGUUUAGAUUAUCUGAAUGCCACGCACUGAUUCCCAACGAAGGCAAGGACACACCGGUACCUGACUGGAGGAGUGAGCAAAGAAACUUUACACCAAACUGCAGAUGUCCUGAUUGAUGCAAACAUACAAAAAUCAAGCACAGAAAUACAGUUUGCACUGUGAGUGCGGGUGUACCCACAGCUCACAUCAGCAUUUGCAGCACAGGACUGAAGGAGUGAAGCUACUGUAACUGAGCCCAUUUAACAGACCCUAUAUUCUCAUUUGUGGGAAGUGACAUGGAGGAAACUCAGAAGCACUGUACAGCCUGACAAAAUGAUUUCUCUCUUUAUGAUCUGAAAAGGAAACCAUGACCCAUUUUUCCAAAAGCAAUAUUAAAAAAGGCAGAGCAACAUGACACGAGCAAUACAAAACUGGCCAUCUUUGGUUUAAAGAGUUGCUAUUUCAAACCUCCCAGCUAUUUCCCAUGUUUGUGAUUGCCCCCAAGAGACCAACAAAAGGCAUGAAGGAGGUGUGUGGUUUGGCAUGACAAGUUCUUCUCUGUACACAGCGUCCAGGAGGAGUGUCAUUCUUGUGAAAUUUACAAAAAGACCCGAGAUCAAAACCAAGCUAUGAAAUAAAACUGGGCAAAACAAUCCCAAACUAUGAAAAGAAAUAUCCCCUGCCAGUGAGUAUGGCUCUGUGUUACCCAGACAGAGAACCUUCCCACCAACGUGUGAAUGACACCCCUUUCCCAGCUUAGGGAUCUGCAUUUUAAGGCUGGUUUAGCCCCUCUCUGGGGAAGGGGUGCAGUCUCCUCUGCCAACAGCCCAUGGGCUGAGCUCAUGGCUCCCUCAGGCUACAGUUCACAGCCCGCUUGCCUUCAGUAUUGACAUGCUCACACUUGGCGGUAUUAUUCGGAGGUUUGGGUCUGAUGAGUGUAUUUAUAUGGCUGACACCCAGACCUACUUGCCUAUUCCUGCGGAUUCCCGUGAAGUGCUGUCAUGGCUUAUUACCUGUCUAUCUGCCUGCAAGCCUGGGUGACUUUUAAUUUUUUUGAAGCUUAAUGCUGGGAAAACAGAAUCGCUUCACAUUGGUUCAGUUCACCUCCUGAAUGUACAGAUUUAUGAUAUAUAAUACUGUAUCACACACAGUUUAGGAUCUGGUUUCACUGCUAGGCUCUUAAAAAUAGCCUUAUUUUAUCAGAAAUAAACCUUUUUAUCAAGAGAAGGUAAAACACCAUCAGAUUUGGGAAACUUCUGCAGCUAUUGCUCCAUGUUGCUUGUCAGGCUGAGGAGCCCUUGUUCAUGCCUUGGUCUAAUCCAGAGUUGUGUACCGUAGCUCAGUGAUAAUUGGAAACUCUUCUCACUCGAGCAUUUUCAGCUGUUGUAAAAGUCUGCAGCUAAUGUCAUAACAAGAAUUAAACUGUCUCAUCAUAUUACACCCGCCUUAGCUGACUUCGCUGGCUAUUAAGGUGACAGCACAUUGAUUUAAAAUUUGUGUUAAUUGUUUACCCCUUCUUGCAGAGGCUUUCUUGGGGUUUUGUAGCGACCUGCAGGCUUUCUUUAGUUGUGGAUUAUCUUUGUGUUCAGCUUCAUAUGGACUUACAAAAAAAUCCUCUUUGUCUGGAUCAUACCAUGUAAUAACCUCAGCCCAUGGAAUUCUUUGGCAUAUGUAUUCCCUGCAUGGGUCACUUUUAGAAAUAAGCUAAUGGGGAGGGCUCGGCUGGUUUUCAUAUUACAAGGCUUAAAGAUACUUUUUUCCCCUCUCUUAUUUUUAUUUAUAUUUGCUCUUUUCAGUUUUAAUUUUUUUUCUACUAAUAGCAGGGGGGGGAUGUUUUAUAUAAACAAAUGUACCCUGCUAACAAAACCUGUGGAUUUAUGGGUUUAACAAAGAAAGUGGGCUGUACUACCCCCAAAACAGACCUUACAGACAAUCAUCCUCAGGCUUCCACUUCUGGAUUGAAUAAAUUGAUCCCAA